Molecule: ribosomal RNA, 492 nt
Filed under: uncultured bacterium
Lineage: Bacteria
Description: partial 16S ribosomal RNA
Rfam family: Bacterial small subunit ribosomal RNA
Source: RNAcentral
AGUGAACGCUGGCGGUAGGCCUAACACAUGCAAGUCGAACGGCAGCACAGUAAGAUCUUGCUCUUACGGGUGGCGAGUGGCGGACGGGUGAGGAAUACAUCGGAAUCUACUUUUUCGUGGGGGAUAACGUAGGGAAACUUACGCUAAUACCGCAUACGACCUACGGGUGAAAGCAGGGGAUCUUCGGACCUUGCGCGAUUGAAUGAGCCGAUGUCGGAUUAGCUAGUUGGCGGGGUAAAGGCCCACCAAGGCGACGAUCCGUAGCUGGUCUGAGAGGAUGAUCAGCCACACUGGAACUGAGACACGGUCCAGACUCCUACGGGAGGCAGCAGUGGGGAAUAUUGGACAAUGGGCGAAAGCCUGAUCCAGCCAUACCGCGUGAGUGAAGAAGGCCUUCGGGUUGUAAAGCCCUGUUGUUGGGAAAGAAAAGCAGCAGGUGAAUACCCCGAUGUUCUGACGGUACCCAAAGAAAAAGCACCGGCUAACUUCGUG